GGGGCACCCUGAUCCAGCAAUGCCGCGUGUGUGAAGAAGGCCUUCGGGUUGUAAAGCACUUUUGUCCGGAAAGAAAACGUCUUGGUUAAUACCUGAGGCGGAUGACGGUACCGGAAGAAUAAGCACCGGCUAACUACGUGCCAGCAGCCGCGGUAAUACGUAGGGUGCGAGCGUUAAUCGGAAUUACUGGGCGUAAAGCGUGCGCAGGCGGUCUGUUAAGACCGAUGUGAAAUCCCCGGGCUUAACCUGGGAACUGCAUUGGUGACUGGCAGGCUUUGAGUGUGGCAGAGGGGGGUAGAAUUCCACGUGUAGCAGUGAAAUGCGUAGAGAUGUGGAGGAAUACCGAUGGCGAAGGCAGCCCCCUGGGCCAACACUGACGCUCAUGCACGAAAGCGUGGGGAGCAAACAGGAUUAGAUACCCUGGUAGUCCACGCCCUAAACGAUGUCAACUAGUUGUUGGGGAUUCAUUUCCUUAGUAACGUAGCUAACGCGUGAAGUUGACCGCCUGGGGAGUACGGUCGCAAGAUUAAAACUCAAAGGAAUUGACGGGGACCCGCACAAGCGGUGGAUGAUGUGGAUUAAUUCGAUGCAACGCGAAAAACCUUACCUACCCUUGACAUGGUCGGAAGUCUGCUGAGAG
Molecule: ribosomal RNA, 640 nt
Filed under: Burkholderia sp. IBb334
Lineage: Bacteria; Pseudomonadati; Pseudomonadota; Betaproteobacteria; Burkholderiales; Burkholderiaceae
Description: bacterial SSU rRNA
Rfam family: Bacterial small subunit ribosomal RNA
Source: RNAcentral